GUGGAAUCCUGGUUUUGAGUAGAAUAGACGUUAUUUAUUUCAAGACCUCUCAGAAUUUCUCAGAUCCUAUUGUGAGCAAAUCAUGUUUUUCCAUAAACAGAUCCAUUCACCUUCUAAGAAAUGUCGUUCUACAUCCCAGAUGACCUUCCCAAACUGUUACACUGCUCGCUUACUGGUUUAGAAAAUUUAAACUUAUUUUUCACCUAAGACCAAGCGCUCAGAAAACCCAGAGACUGUCAUGCGGGCCGUGGAGCUUACAGGCUGUGUGUAUGCCGUACAGCAAUGCACAGUGUGUCGGUAUCAUCAUUUUCUUUCAUAUGAAAAUAUCACUUCUACAUUAGAGCUGAUCAUGUUUUCAGUCCAGGAGGAUUUGGUGGUGUGUGUUCCUGGCCAUCAACAUCCAGGGAGAUGAGUGAAGUCAAGAAAAAAGAAUACUGGGAGGUGAAGGAGCUGCCCGGAGGGAGAUGAUGAAACUUCUGCCAUUGCCAUCACCCCAGGGCCCAGUGCUGAAUGAUUCCGUGAUAGUCCUGAAAUCUUAAUGUAAGUGAAGGGCUUUGUGUUUCCCAUGAGCCCCGCAGCUUAGAGGGAAAUGAGUCUGCCGGCAGCGCUGAGAGCCUGGAGACGGCCCUCUGUGGAACAGAGCCUCUGAGGAGCAUCCCUUUGCCACCAUCACCCAACUCAGAAGAGCCUUCUGAGCUCUGCUGGAAGAGCUCCUCGGGAUGCACAACACCAGCAGUUCAAGGGAAACAUGAGGCACAAAUCAGAGUACAGCCUGCAUGAAAACACUCACUCCUAUACAGUGUAUCUUUCCUGGAGAUGGCAAACGAAUAGAGAAAACAUCCCUCUGUGGAAGACAGAACAUUCAAGAUAUGGGAAGAUUUCAACCACACAGAUAAAAAUAAGGCAGCAA
Molecule: long non-coding RNA, 910 nt
Filed under: Fukomys damarensis (Damara mole-rat)
Lineage: Eukaryota; Metazoa; Chordata; Mammalia; Rodentia; Bathyergidae
Description: lncRNA (ENSFDAG00000032582.1)
Source: RNAcentral